Molecule: transfer RNA, 62 nt
Filed under: Isorropodon fossajaponicum
Lineage: Eukaryota; Metazoa; Mollusca; Bivalvia; Venerida; Vesicomyidae
Description: tRNA-Glu
Source: RNAcentral
UUUUUAAUAGUGUAAAAAACGCACUGAUUUUUCGAGUCAGAGAUGAAAUUAAAUUUUCUUGG